ACGCUGGCGGCGUGCCUAACACAUGCAAGUCGAACGAAAAGAGGGAAAGAGCUUGCUCUUUCCGGAAUUGAGUGGCAAACGGGUGAGUAACACGUAAACAACCUGCCUUCAGGAUGGGGACAACAGACGGAAACGACUGCUAAUACCGAAUAAGUUCCAAGAGCCGCAUGGCCCAUGGAAGAAAAGGUGGCCUCUACCUGUAAGCUAUCGCCUGAAGAGGGGUUUGCGUCUGAUUAGCUGGUUGGAGGGGUAACGGCCCACCAAGGCGACGAUCAGUAGCCGGUCUGAGAGGAUGAACGGCCACACUGGAACUGAGACACGGUCCAGACUCCUACGGGAGGCAGCAGUGGGGAAUCUUCCGCAAUGGGCGAAAGCCUGACGGAGCAACGCCGCGUGAGUGAUGACGGCCUUCGGGUUGUAAAACUCUGUGAUCCGGGACGAAAAGGCAGAGUGCGAAGAACAAACUGCAUUGACGGUACCGGAAAAGCAAGCCACGGCUAACUACGUG
Molecule: ribosomal RNA, 508 nt
Filed under: uncultured bacterium
Lineage: Bacteria
Description: bacterial SSU rRNA
Rfam family: Bacterial small subunit ribosomal RNA
Source: RNAcentral